RNAcentral lists this unclassified non-coding RNA (273 nucleotides) under fungal sp. Its description in RNAcentral is "partial internal transcribed spacer region". The stretch from base 1 to 46 matches the Rfam family "Eukaryotic small subunit ribosomal RNA", at positions 1786 to 1831 of the family's 1831-position model. The record is from RNAcentral. Lineage: Eukaryota; Fungi.
AAGUCGUAACAAGGUUUCCGUAGGUGAACCUGCGGAAGGAUCAUUUCCGAAACAAUUUUCCCAUACAAACCAACCAUGUGAACUGUUGAUUGGCUUUACUGCGGUGUAAGAGUGGGCAAUUUAUUUUGGCCAUUCUUGGUACCGCAGGCCUUGAUGAACUACCUUGUAAGAGGUGUGAUAUAUUAUCGUUCUUUUUUUCCUUUCUUUUUUGAAAAAAGAGGAAAGACAAACACAAUAAUAUGACAACUUUUAACGGUGGAUCUCUUGGCUCGU